Molecule: small RNA, 91 nt
Filed under: Mytilus galloprovincialis (Mediterranean mussel)
Lineage: Eukaryota; Metazoa; Mollusca; Bivalvia; Mytilida; Mytilidae
Source: RNAcentral
GAGACAAAAUUGACCUUUGUGAGACAAAAUUGAAUUUUGUCUCACGAAAUUGAGUUUUGUCUCACAAAGUCAAUUUUGUCUCACAAAAGUC